GGGGGAGGGGAGGAGGGAAUACAUUCCAUUAUUCAAUUUCUGUUCUAACUAAACAUUCCUAGUUGUACAGCUCUCAAGGUAGGGUCUUGCUCACUGCUUACAAAUAGGACAGUUUUAUCAACAGCUGGAGAUACCUCUUAUCAAAUAGCUGAAUGCUUAUGAGGCAGUACAGUGUAGGCUAGUUGUGGUUUGCACUUAUUAAAGCAUAAUUAUAGCUCAGGCCUAUUACAAUUUAAAUGCUACAAACACAUUACUGGUUCUAUCAUGCAUCAAAAAUGUUUUGAUCACUAGGCUUGAGGGAACAUGUAAACUCCUCUUUGACAAACUUACACGAUCUGUGCUUUUCAGCUUUUGCUCUCCAAUUUGUAUCUGCUCCAGAUCUGUUUGGAGACUUAAGUUAGUUCACUUCAGAACUAAACUUCAAGAGCCAUGGAGGCCAGCGGGAGGUUUUCCAUUGACUUCAGUGAACUGUGGAUCAGGUCUGAGGAGAUAAAUCCAGCUCUUUCAGAAGCCGGUAAGAAUUAGGGUGAUAAUGGGACCCAGCCUGGGUCUUUACCGAGUGAUUUGGGUGAAUGGGCUUGUGACACUCCACAGACACAGUAAAUGGACAAAAUCUGCUUUCAGGGAAAGUCGCAAGAAUCUGUGAGUCACUCCUGAAGCACCAGGAAAUGCUGAAGGUGGGGCUGUGACAUGUAUUGUGGUCAACAGAUGGAGAGAUGAGUGGGGAGAGGAUGACAGGUUUCGCUGGAGUAUUUGGCAAUCUAGCUCUAACUGAGAUUUUUCAGAGGCUUCAAACCUGGCCAGUUUGGGGUGUGCUCUUCUGAGGAUGACCAAAGGUUUGUCCCUAACAAAUAGGCCAUGUAUUAUGCCAAACUGCAAAAAAACACAAUGCUACUGCUGUUUGCCCACAGAAUGAACGAUUUUUGAAAAUCUAUGAUGAUUGGUUAAGUCUGAUGAAGUUAUGAAUAAGCAGAAACAGCGUUGCACUCCAGUGACAAGCUUUUUGUAAACACAGGCACUUCCUAUUAGGAUACUUGUGUAAUGUCUUUUUUUCUUCUUCUUCAUUGCAGGCUCUAUUCUCUUCAUAGAAUGAAGCUGUGAAAGGACCAUAGGAAGAGACAAAACUGGAAAAUUAUAUAUAAUGUCUUGUCCACUAUGUGUUUCUGAAGAUGCCAGACCUUCACAAACCCAUGUGUGCUUCUGCUCGAGUAACUGUACCAACACUGACUUUUUUUUGAACAACAUUACGUACAGAAUUGUGCACACUGGAGGUGGAAAUUAGAUCAGAGGUAAUGGCAACACUCAGAAGGCUGUCCUCGUCUUAGAAGCCUGCAGGUAAACAUGCACUUAAGAGGUGGGAGCUGCUGAAGUUGAGAGAGACAGCGUUGGUUCCUCAUUUGCCUUGCUGUGGCACGAUGGUGAAGACCUAGCAUAGUCUCACCUGUUUGUUUUGGCAAUUAAUUGGAACUCUUGAGGUAAGACUAUUUUGUUUCAUUCUAUAACCAGCCCAGAAGAGCAAAUCCUUACAAAUCUUAAAUGCUUCCACUGUCUGAUUUGAAUUGGUUAUGUUCAUGCAGGAUAUAUCCGUCUAUUGUAGAAGUAGAAGUGAACAGCAAGUUCAAACUUAUGUCCCC
RNAcentral lists this long non-coding RNA (1634 nucleotides) under Gallus gallus (chicken). Its description in RNAcentral is "lncRNA (ENSGALG00010019917.1)". Lineage: Eukaryota; Metazoa; Chordata; Aves; Galliformes; Phasianidae. The record is from RNAcentral.